AGCCCGGUGCAUUUGCAGCCAGUGACUAUGAUAGUCCCUGGCAGCGAGCAUUUUUUAGUUCACUGUCUCAUGCUCCUGAUAAUUUUAUGACAGGGUGUCCUGCACAGCUGCAGGAAAGAAUGUGUGCCUGCAUUUCAUAAAUAAUCACUUAGUUAAACCACUACACGGGACAGAUGCGAUGUACGAAGAAAAGGAUCACAACAAAACCCACCCAGAAGAUGGAAAGGCUACAAAUCUCAGACAGGUGAUAACUGGAAAAAUAAUCACCCCAUGUCCCAAUCGGGGCCGGGAGGAUCCCAAGCCCACUGCUGCGUGCCAUGGCCCGACAUGAGCUUGGAGGAGUCUUCGGGCUAUGCAGAUGUUUCUGUGCUUGCAGAGCCUGUGGUGAUUGUAGCAAAAGAGAAUUGAGCUGCCACCAGGGAUGUAGUGUGUUUUCUCAACUUUACUUUCCCAAGCGUUAUGUUGCGUCUCCACCGCUGCAGAUGUAAUGCUUUUAGUCUCACAUUUAAAUGAACGAACCACGAAUCCGAGGCGGGAAAUGUCCAUAAGCACUUAGAUUUUGUUUGUGAUACCCAAAUGAUAAACUGUGUGCGUUUCAGGGUCGGCGACACUGUAUAUGAUUUAACACUGAGCAAAGAUGAUCUUGUACUAUAAGAGACAUUUAAAGACUUGCUCAUCUGAACCUGCCCUGGUACUAAUAAAGUAAAA
Cololabis saira (Pacific saury) is the source of this 708-nucleotide long non-coding RNA. RefSeq lists it as uncharacterized. The record is from RefSeq and is a predicted model, not a curated record. The transcript is spliced from 3 exons. NCBI's taxonomy places the organism in Eukaryota, Metazoa, Chordata, Actinopteri, Beloniformes, Belonidae.